This 253-nucleotide ribosomal RNA is filed under the name uncultured bacterium. RNAcentral's name for it is "partial 16S ribosomal RNA". It matches the Rfam family "Bacterial small subunit ribosomal RNA", at positions 524 to 776 of the family's 1533-position model. The record is from RNAcentral.
UACGUAGGCAGCGAGCGUUGUUCGGAGUUACUGGGCGUAAAGGGUGUGUAGGCGGUUUUCUAAGUUUGGUGUGAAAUCUCCCGGCUCAACCGGGAGGGUGCGCCGAAAACUGGGAGACUAGAGUGCGGGAUGGGAGAGUAGAAUUCCUGGUGUAGCGGUGAAAUGCGUAGAUAUCAGGAGGAAUACCGGUGGUGUAGACGGCUCUCUGGACCGCAACUGACGCUGAGGAGCGAAAGCAUGGGUAGCAAACAGG